GUAGGGAAUAUUGGGCAAUGGGUGCAAGCCUGACCCAGCCAUCCCGCGUGCCGGAUGAAGGCCCUCUGGGUCGUAAACGGCUUUUGACGGUGAAGAACCGAAAGGGUGCGCCCUUUUUUGACGGUAGCCGUUGAAUAAGCACCGGCUAACUCCGUGCCAGCAGCCGCGGUAAUACGGAGGGUGCGAGCGUUGUCCGGAUUUAUUGGGUUUAAAGGGUGCGUAGGCUGAAAGGACAGUCAGCGGUGAAAAGCAGUUGCUCAACAAUUGUCUUGCCGCAGAUACUACCUUUCUUGGAUUGGGAGGAGGUUACCGGAACGGAUGGUGUAGCGGUGAAAUGCAUAGAUAUCAUCCAGAACGCCAAUUGCGAAGGCAGGUAACUGUACCUUAAUCGACGCUGAUGCACGAAAGCAUGGGGAGCAAACAGGAUUAGAAACCCGAGUAGUCC
Molecule: ribosomal RNA, 445 nt
Filed under: uncultured bacterium
Lineage: Bacteria
Description: partial 16S ribosomal RNA
Rfam family: Bacterial small subunit ribosomal RNA
Source: RNAcentral